Molecule: ribosomal RNA, 301 nt
Filed under: uncultured bacterium
Lineage: Bacteria
Description: partial 16S ribosomal RNA
Rfam family: Bacterial small subunit ribosomal RNA
Source: RNAcentral
CAGCCGCCGCGGGAAUACGGAGGGUGCAAGCGUUAUCCGGAUUUAUUGGGUUUAAAGGGUCCGUAGGCGGAUCUGUAAGUCAGUGGUGAAAUCUCACAGCUUAACUGUGAAACUGCCAUUGAUACUGCAGGUCUUGAGUAAAUUUGAAGUGGCUGGAAUAAGUAGUGUAGCGGUGAAAUGCAUAGAUAUUACUUAGAACACCAAUUGCGAAGGCAGGUCACUAAGAUUUAACUGACGCUGAUGGACGAAAGCGUGGGGAGCGAACAGGAUUAGAUACCCCGGUAGUCCCUGUCUCUUAUAA